This 341-nucleotide long non-coding RNA is filed under the name Rattus norvegicus (Norway rat). Its description in RNAcentral is "long non-coding RNA NONRATT007002". The record is from RNAcentral. Lineage: Eukaryota; Metazoa; Chordata; Mammalia; Rodentia; Muridae.
GCAUGAGUGAAACAGGAACUCCUAUUCACUGAGUGAAAACUGAUAGCCCUUAAAAAUGCAUGGAAUACAGCUUGGCCUAAUGCCCAAUGACCGAGAUUUUUAAAAUCAGCACUUCCCUGAGACCAAACUGAAGCCAAGUAUUACCACAGAAGAAACUUCUGAAAUAAAAGAAAGUGUUCAUUGUCAAAUGGGAACCACGUCACACGGAAUGCUUACCCGGCCAUUCUGAAGCAACCACUGAGCAUCUGAUAUGAGGACUGGGUGAAGAGCCUCGAGCAUGCAGUGGAAGCAAGAACCAUAUCCCCAAGUCCUCAGCAGAUAUUAAAAAAUAGAUUCCUCAA